AGCUAACGCAUUAGCGCCCCGCCUGGGGGAGUACGGCCGCAAGGCUAAAACUCAAAGGAAUUGACGGGGCCCGCACAAGCGGCGGAGCAUGCGGAUUAAUUCGAUGCAACGCGAAGAACCUUACCAAGGCUUGACAUAUACGAGAACGGGCCAGAAAUGGUCAACUCUUUGGACACUCGUAUACAGCUGGUGCAUGGUUGUCGUCAGCUCGUGUCGUGAGAUGUUGGGUUAAGUCCCGCAACGAGCGCAACCCUCGUUCUAUGUUGCCAGCACGUAAUGGUGGGAACUCAUAGGAGACUGCCGGGGUCAACUCGGAGGAAGGUGGGGAUGACGUCAAAUCAUCAUGCCCCUUAUGUCUUGGGCUUCACGCAUGCUACAAUGGCCGGUACAAUGGGCUGCAAUACCGUGAGGUGGAGCGAAUCCCAAAAAGCCGGUCUCAGUUCGGAUUGAGGUCUGCAACUCGACCUCAUGAAGUCGGAGUCGCUAGUAAUCGCAGAUCAGCAACGCUGCGGUGAAUACGUUCCCGGGCCUUGUACACCCGC
This 542-nucleotide ribosomal RNA is filed under the name Microbacterium sp. m9-17. Its description in RNAcentral is "bacterial SSU rRNA". It matches the Rfam family "Bacterial small subunit ribosomal RNA", at positions 850 to 1393 of the family's 1533-position model. The record is from RNAcentral. Lineage: Bacteria; Bacillati; Actinomycetota; Actinomycetes; Micrococcales; Microbacteriaceae.